RNAcentral lists this transfer RNA (90 nucleotides) under Trichomalopsis sarcophagae. Its description in RNAcentral is "tRNA-OTHER". The record is from RNAcentral. Lineage: Eukaryota; Metazoa; Arthropoda; Insecta; Hymenoptera; Pteromalidae.
GCGUUCGUGGCUCAGUUGGUUAAGGCGCACGCCGAAACGUCCGAAACACGUUCGCUCAAGGGGUCGUGGGUUCGAUUCCCGGUGAGGUCA